GAUGAACGCUGGCGGCGUGCCUAAUACAUGCAAGUCGAGCGAACAGACGAGGAGCUUGCUCCUCUGACGUUAGCGGCGGACGGGUGAGUAACACGUGGAUAACCUACCUAUAAGACUGGGAAACUUCGGGUAACCGGAGCUAAUACCGGAUAAUAUAUUGAACCGCAUGGUUCAAUAGUGAAAGACGGUUUUGCUGUCACUUAUAGAUGGAUCCGCGCCGCAUUAGCUAGUUGGUAAGGUAACGGCUUACCAAGGCAACGAUGCGUAGCCGACCUGAGAGGGUGAUCGGCCACACUGGAACUGAGACACGGUCCAGACUCCUACGGGAGGCAGCAGUAGGGAAUCUUCCGCAAUGGGCGAAAGCCUGACGGAGCAACGCCGCGUGAGUGAUGAAGGUCUUCGGAUCGUAAAACUCUGUUAUUAGGGAAGAACAAAUGUGUAAGUAACUAUGCACGUCUUGACGGUACCUAAUCAGAAAGCCACGGCUAACUACGUGCCAGCAGCCGCCGUAA
This 512-nucleotide ribosomal RNA is filed under the name uncultured bacterium. Its description in RNAcentral is "partial 16S ribosomal RNA". It matches the Rfam family "Bacterial small subunit ribosomal RNA", at positions 28 to 523 of the family's 1533-position model. The record is from RNAcentral.